This 683-nucleotide ribosomal RNA is filed under the name Debaryomyces hansenii. RNAcentral describes it as "partial large subunit ribosomal RNA". The stretch from base 1 to 597 matches the Rfam family "Eukaryotic large subunit ribosomal RNA", at positions 65 to 664 of the family's 3401-position model. Lineage: Eukaryota; Fungi; Ascomycota; Pichiomycetes; Serinales; Debaryomycetaceae. The record is from RNAcentral.
CUCACAGGGUAAUGGCCUUAGUACGGCGAGUGAAGCGGCAAAAGCUCAAAUUUGAAAUCUGGCACCUUCGGUGUCCGAGUUGUAAUUUGAAGAAGGUAACUUUGGAGUUGGCUCUUGUCUAUGUUCCUUGGAACAGGACGUCACAGAGGGUGAGAAUCCCGUGCGAUGAGAUGCCCAAUUCUAUGUAAAGUGCUUUCGAAGAGUCGAGUUGUUUGGGAAUGCAGCUCUAAGUGGGUGGUAAAUUCCAUCUAAAGCUAAAUAUUGGCGAGAGACCGAUAGCGAACAAGUACAGUGAUGGAAAGAUGAAAAGAACUUUGAAAAGAGAGUGAAAAAGUACGUGAAAUUGUUGAAAGGGAAGGGCUUGAGAUCAGACUUGGUAUUUUGCGAUCCUUUCCUUCUUGGUUGGGUUCCUCGCAGCUUACUGGGCCAGCAUCGGUUUGGAUGGUAGGAUAAUGACUAAGGAAUGUGGCUCUACUUCGGUGGAGUGUUAUAGCCUUGGUUGAUACUGCCUGUCUAGACCGAGGACUGCGUCUUUUGACUAGGAUGUUGGCAUAAUGAUCUUAAGCCACCCGUCUUGAAAACCCGAAACAAAAACGGAAGGCCCUAACCCUCCCCCUCUUUUUUUUUUUUUUAAUACGUUGGGGGGCGUGAAAAGGGGGUGGGAGUGAGGGAUUAGGGGGGGG